This is a non-coding RNA of Odocoileus virginianus texanus, 254 nucleotides long. The record is from RefSeq and is a predicted model, not a curated record. NCBI's taxonomy places the organism in Eukaryota, Metazoa, Chordata, Mammalia, Artiodactyla, Cervidae.
GUUUGUUGGAAUUUUGAGGCUAGGAAGGUGAGAUGGAUUUCUGAGAGAAGGAGGAAAAUGGAUGCCCUCUCCCCAGAAAUCAAGUUCAUCAUAUGGAAAAUGCAGAUCUCCAGGAUGAAUUCAUUGUACUCAAGAAAUGUCGACUUGACCCAUCUCCUCGUCUUCCCCAUGAGAAGUCCACAUCAAUCUUCUCUUGGACUAGUUAUUGUAGACUCUUUACCACAAAUCACUUCUUAACAAGGAACAGGUAACAU